UCUCUCCUAGAUACACACAUCACCUAAAAUCUCACUUUUACCGUGCACUGCAAACGCCCUAACGCAGCAAGGGCUUCGUCUGCCUUCCAGGUUCGAAGACAUGAUGCCUCCUUGUGCCCUGCUUGGAGAUGCCCGCCUUGCUCUCCAGGUCGCUCUCAGUCUGCACAUCCAAACCGACAAGCACUAGGCGUAGGCGACUUCCCCAAUGGGUUCCAGCUCCAGAGCUCCUCCAACCUACACCAUCAGGAGAGGGGUCGAGGGAUCGGAGACCAAAUGGCUUCAGCAUCAGGCGUCCAGGCGACGUGGUAACCUCUGCUGGAUUUGGGACCCGGCAUGGACUCCAGCCAAGGCAAGUUCUCCUCUCGACCUGUCUGAGGAUACCUGGCUCACCCUCACUGUAAUGACUUCACUGGAGGACCAUGUGCAGCUAAAGAUUUUGUCUGUUGCAGUCUUUAGCUUUGGUGAGGUUGCAAAAGCAACUGCCAGUGGAAGCAAAGUUACUUGUUGCGAUAUCUCAUCCGAUGGCAAACUGCUUGCUACCGGUGGCCAUGAUAAAAAGGCUGUCUUGUGGUGGGCAGAGCACCUCCAGCCUAAAUCUUCUCUAGAAGAGCACUCGAUGCUGAUCACUGAUGUUAGAUUUAGCCCAAGCAUGCCACGGAUCCUUGCUACAUCCUCCUUUGACAGAACGCUGCGGGUUUGGGAUGCUGAUGAUGUAUGCUUCUCAUUAUUUUUCGUUCUUUUUUUCCUCUCAAAAUGCUAUUAUUGUCAUAUGGCAAUAGUGCAUUAGAAGACGUUCUGAGGCUCAAAAUGCAUCAUCUAACUAGAAGUAAUUGCAACGCCUAACUAACUGUGUAUGUGCAGACUGAGUAUUCACUCCGCACUUUCACAGGACAUCAAGCACCUAUCAUGUCACUUGAUUUCCAUCCUAAUAAACAGGAUGUGAUAUGCUCCUGUGAUAGUGAUGGGCAAGUGCAUAGCUGGAGGGCAAAUUAUGCUAACUGUCUGACCUGUGUUAAGGUGUCCAGGGGUGUUGCUGUUCAACUGAGAUUUCAACCUCUCAAGGGAAAAUAUCUAGCAACAGCCUCAGAGAAGGCUGUCUUCAUACUUGACGGGGAAACACAAAUGGCCAGUAGAAGCCCUUUACAGGGGCACUCUAAGACUAUUCAAUCAGUUUGUUGGGAUUCUUCUGGUGACUACCUGGCUUCUGUCAGUGAAGACUCAGUCAGAAUAUGGUCGUUUACUUCUGGGCAUGAUGGUGAAUUUGUGCACGAGUUGAAUAGCAGAGGGAAAAUGUUCCACUCAUGCGUUUUCCACCCAACCUGUCCAUCAUUACUAGUAAUUGGUUGC
Molecule: long non-coding RNA, 1347 nt
Organism: Setaria italica (foxtail millet)
Lineage: Eukaryota; Viridiplantae; Streptophyta; Magnoliopsida; Poales; Poaceae
Exons: 4
Source: RefSeq, a predicted model, not a curated record